AAUUCCUACGGGGGGCAGCAGUGGGGAAUAUUGCACAAUGGGGGGAACCCUGAUGCAGCGACGCCGCGUGGGCGAUGGAGUAUAUCGGUAUGUAAAGCCCUAUCGGCAGGGAAGAAACUGACAGUACCUGACUAAGAAGCCCCGGCUAACUACGUGCCAGCCGCCGCGGUAAUACGUAGGGGGCAAGCGUUAUCCGGAUUCACUGGGCGUAAAGGGAGCGCAGGCGGCACGGCAAGCCUUGUGUGAAAACCCCGGGCCCAACCCCGG
This 267-nucleotide ribosomal RNA is filed under the name uncultured bacterium. Its description in RNAcentral is "partial 16S ribosomal RNA". It matches the Rfam family "Bacterial small subunit ribosomal RNA", at positions 334 to 618 of the family's 1533-position model. The record is from RNAcentral.